This 800-nucleotide ribosomal RNA is filed under the name uncultured bacterium. RNAcentral's name for it is "bacterial SSU rRNA". It matches the Rfam family "Bacterial small subunit ribosomal RNA", at positions 85 to 885 of the family's 1533-position model. The record is from RNAcentral.
UUGCUGACGAGUGGCGGACGGGUGAGUAAUACUUAGGGAUCUGCCUCUGUGCGGGGGAUAACUAUUGGAAACGAUAGCUAAUACCGCAUAACGUCUACGGACCAAAGAGGGCUUUCGGGCUCUCGCGCAGAGAGGAACCUAAGCGAGAUUAGCUUGUUGGUGAGGUAAAGGCUCACCAAGGCGACGAUCUCUAGCUGUUCUGAGAGGAAGAUCAGCCACACUGGAACUGAGACACGGUCCAGACUCCUACGGGAGGCAGCAGUGGGGAAUAUUGCACAAUGGGGGAAACCCUGAUGCAGCCAUGCCGCGUGUGUGAAGAAGGCCUUCGGGUUGUAAAGCACUUUCAGUUGUGAGGAAAGUUAUGUAGUUAAUACCUGCAUGAUGUGACGUUAACAACAGAAGAAGCACCGGCUAACUCCGUGCCAGCAGCCGCGGUAAUACGGAGGGUGCGAGCGUUAAUCGGAAUUACUGGGCGUAAAGCGCACGCAGGCGGUCUGUUAAGCUAGAUGUGAAAGCCCCGCGCUCAACGUGGGAGGGUCAUUUAGAACUGGCAGACUAGAGUCUUGGAGAGGGGAGUGGAAUUCCAGGUGUAGCGGUGAAAUGCGUAGAGAUCUGGAGGAACAUCAAUGGCGAAGGCAACUCCCUGGCCAAAGACUGACGCUCAUGUGCGAAAGUGUGGGUAGCGAACAGGAUUAGAUACCCUGGUAGUCCACACCGUAAACGCCGUCUACUAGCUGUUUGUGGAUUUAAUCCGUGAGUAGCGAAGCUAACGCGAUAAGUAGACCGCCUGGGGAGUACGG